GGGGAAUAUUGCACAAUGGGGGAAACCCUGAUGCAGCAACGCCGCGUGAGUGAAGAAGGUUUUCGGAUCGUAAAGCUCUGUCAUCCGGGACGAUAAUGACGGUACCGGAAGAGGAAGCCACGGCUAACUACGUGCCAGCAGCCGCGGUAAUACGUAGGUGGCGAGCGUUGUCCGGAAUUACUGGGCGUAAAGGGUGUGCAGGCGGAUAUUUAAGUGAGAUGUGAAAGACCCGGGCUUAACCCGGGCAGUGCAUUUCAAACUGGAUAUCUAGAGUGCAGGAGAGGAGAACGGAAUUCCUAGUGUAGCGGUGAAAUGCGUAGAGAUUAGGAAGAACACCAGUGGCGAAGGCGGUUCUCUGGACUGUAACUGACGCUGAGGCACGAAAGCGUGGGUAGCAAAC
RNAcentral lists this ribosomal RNA (400 nucleotides) under uncultured bacterium. RNAcentral's name for it is "bacterial SSU rRNA". It matches the Rfam family "Bacterial small subunit ribosomal RNA", at positions 356 to 773 of the family's 1533-position model. The record is from RNAcentral.